This 256-nucleotide non-coding RNA is filed under the name Clostridiales bacterium. RNAcentral's name for it is "T-box sequence". It matches the Rfam family "T-box leader". Rfam says of the family: Uncharged tRNA acts as the effector for transcription antitermination of genes in the T-box leader family. The record is from RNAcentral. Lineage: Bacteria; Bacillati; Bacillota; Clostridia; Eubacteriales.
UAUUAUGCGAUGAUGAGAAGAGUAAAUAGAUUAAUUUCUUUAUAGAGAGCUCCGGCAGCUGAAAAGGAGUAAGGAAUAUUUAUUGAAACAAGCCUCUGAGCCUCAUACCGAUUCUUAUAUAGAAAAGGCUAUGACAGGAGCUCCUGUUACAGAGCUAGGGUAUAAGCAUUUAUAAAAUGUCGUACCUGAAAGGUCAAUAUGGCAACAUGUUGAUGAACUGGGGUGGCACCACGGAGAUAUAACUCUCGUCCCCAAG